AACCAUAGAAACCUGCGGAGUACCUGCGGAAGGAUCAUUAUAGUAUAUGGAGUCUCCAUUCUAUAAACCCACUCUGCGUAUCUUGUAACUGUUGCUUCCAUGGGACUUGGUUCCGCCACACCGGCUUCACGGCUGGUGAGCGCCCAUGGAAGGAGAAACAAAACUCUUCUUUGAAAUGUAGUCAGUCUGAACAAGUUUUUAUAAACGUUAAAACUUUUAGCAAUGGAUCUCAGAUCGGAA
This 240-nucleotide unclassified non-coding RNA is filed under the name soil metagenome. Its description in RNAcentral is "partial contains 5.8S ribosomal RNA, internal transcribed spacer 2, and large subunit ribosomal RNA". The record is from RNAcentral.